GGUUUGUAGGCAGUGUAGUUAAGCUGAUUGUAUCUGUUGCUUUGCAAUCACUAACUUCACUGACAUCAAAAC
Molecule: microRNA precursor, 72 nt
Organism: Chlamydotis macqueenii (Macqueen's bustard)
Lineage: Eukaryota; Metazoa; Chordata; Aves; Otidiformes; Otididae
Rfam family: mir-34 microRNA precursor family
About the family: Human mir-34a was discovered computationally and later experimentally verified.
Source: Rfam